GAAAUGCGAUAAGUAAUGUGAAUUGCAGAAUUCAGUGAAUCAUCGAAUCUUUGAACGCUCAUUGCGCCCGCCAGUAUUCUGGCGGGCAUGCCUGUCCGAGCGUCAUUUCAACCAUCAAGCCCCCGGGCUUGUGUUGGGGACCUGCGGCUGCCCACAGGCCCUGAAAACCAGUGGCGGGCUCGCUGUCACACCGAGCGUAGUAGCAAUCACCUCGCUCAGGGCGUGCUGCGGGUUCCGGCCGUUAAACAGCCUUACAAAACCCAAGGUUGACCUCGGAUCAGGUAGGAAGACCCGCUGAACUUAAGC
This 306-nucleotide unclassified non-coding RNA is filed under the name plant metagenome. RNAcentral describes it as "partial contains 5.8S ribosomal RNA, internal transcribed spacer 2, and large subunit ribosomal RNA". The stretch from base 1 to 105 matches the Rfam family "5.8S ribosomal RNA", at positions 50 to 154 of the family's 154-position model. The record is from RNAcentral.